Molecule: ribosomal RNA, 429 nt
Filed under: Acidobacteriota bacterium
Lineage: Bacteria; Pseudomonadati; Acidobacteriota
Description: Acidobacteria bacterium partial 16S ribosomal RNA
Rfam family: Bacterial small subunit ribosomal RNA
Source: RNAcentral
UGGGGAAUUUUGGACCAUGGGGGAAACCCUGAUCCAGCCAUCCCGCGUGUGCGAUGAAGGCCUUCGGGUUGUAAAGCACUUUUGGCAGGAAAGAAACGUCAUGGGUUAAUACCCCGUGAAACUGACGGUACCUGCAGAAUAAGCACCGGCUAACUACGUGCCAGCAGCCGCGGUAAUACGUAGGGUGCAAGCGUUAAUCGGAAUUACUGGGCGUAAAGCGUGCGCAGGCGGUUCGGAAAGAAAGAUGUGAAAUCCCAGAGCUCAACUUUGGAACUGCAUUUUUAACUACCGGGCUAGAGGGUGUCAGAGGGAGGUGGAAUUCCGCGUGUAGCAGUGAAAUGCGUAGAUAUGCGGAGGAACACCGAUGGCGAAGGCAGCCUCCUGGGAUAACACUGACGCUCAUGCACGAAAGCGUGGGGAGCAAACAGG